ACGCCGAAAAGCAAGGAAAACCCAAAUAUGUUAAAUUGAAUGUGUUCCCCAACAACGAAAACCCUAACACGCGUUGCCACCACCGUCAAAUCCAAAAACGACGAUCUGUGCUCUGCUUCGGCAACGUUCUGCACCAGCGACUGCUCCGGUAAUGAUCUGCUCCAGCGAAUGCUCCGGCGACGAUUUUCUUGGCGUUCUCCUCCGACGAGAUUGUGUGUUGUGAACUGAAACGCUGUCUCCAGUGACGAUCUCCUCUGGCGGCGCGUUCUCCUCCUUUAGCGAGCUUCUAUGAUUUGGAUUUGAUAUGAAGAUUGCCGCUCAUCUCAUCGCCGUCAUUCAUCUCUGCGCCAUCGCAAGCAACACCGUUUUCAAUCUGGCUCAUCUCCUCGACGUGGCAAGCAACGCCGUUGUUGCUGCCUUCAGCAAGCUUCUACAGUUUGGUUUCGCGAUCUCUAUCACUUUUAAUAGAUUCUGGUCCCUAGGAUUGAAACCAUGACAGAGCAACAAAGGUGUGCCAGGUGUGGAGUACAUUAUUUCUGAUAGGAUCUUUGAAGAUCUGCCUGACGAGGAGAAGAAGCUUUGGCACUCUUAUGCUUAUGAGGUCAAGUUGGGUCUAUUAAUAAGCCCAAGAGUUCCAGAGAUGAUUGCCAUGCCUGAGCUUGAAAACCUUGCUAAAUCCUAUGGAAAAUUCUGGUGUACUUGGCAGGCCGACAGAGGUUAACAAUCUUUGUGUUAUUAUAUUGUAGGAGUUUAAUUAAGCUUAGUUUUGUGUGUUAUUAUUGGUGCAGGAGAUAGGGUUCCACUGGGUGCACCAGCACUAAUGAUAUCACCACAACCACAAGGGGUGAAGCCUAGGCUGGUGAGGCCAGAUCUGGUGCAUCAGAGGGAUGCAAAGUAUCAUGUUUCCUCAGACAGCUAUAAGACCUUAGUUAAGCGCGUUGCACUUUCAAAUAUUAUGGUGCUAAACAUUUAAUUUAUAUGUAUUUCUUACACAUGAUAAUGCUUUCUCUGUUUCCAUGUUAGAUAUAUCUUAAGUACAAGACACCAACACAUUUUGUUCUGAUUCUGAAUACUGGACAUAUCACACAAUUAACCUAAACACUUAUCAAACUUUGACCAGUCAUUAUCCUUUUGCUUAGUUCUCAUUCUGUUAAUGUGUUUGAAGAAUACAACCUUGUACUAGUGUGAUGCUCAUAGAGAAAGAGAGAGAGAAAGAAAAAAGAAAAAGAAAAUUAUGAGAGAUAGAGCAUUGAAGAGUUGUUGGCAUUUGGGGAGGAUGCAGUCCUCAUUAACGCCAUCACUGGUCAACCUCUUCUAACUAACUAAUGGGGUCUUACCCUCCACUCUCUCCACCAUGGCGCUUCUUAUUAUCUGCUUCUACAUACCCUCCCUCACGCACCUUAUUAGUAACAAAUCACUCCUCAUUUUCCUUCAUUCCCAUUUCUCAUCACUUACCUUGAUUAUUUAUUACUCACACUUUUCAUUUUUUAUUUUUUUUGUGUUUGUCUCUUUUGCAGAUUUAGCAAGGUAGACAAGUGUUGAAGGAAAGGACUUUUAAGCAUCUACUAUAUAUAGGAUCGAUGGAGGGGAUUUAGAUCUAUCUAUGGCGUUGUAUGUUUGAGUUUAGAGUUUCUUCUAUCACUUUCCUACUAUUAUAUUAUAAAAGAUAUAUCUUUAAUUAAUUAUCUACUUAUUACUUGUCUACUUUGUGUUUAAGUAUUAGCAUUAGGGUUAUAUGAAUAUGAGUUCUUUUAAUUUCGCCAAUUUACUUCUACCAUGUAAUCUUCUUAGCCACCCUAUAUUAGUCCAAUGAAAACUUUCUUAGCUUCUUGCUAUGGUCGUAUAUAUGGCUUUAAUUUGUGCCUCUCAUCGUUCUUAUUAUUAUUCCCAAGGAAAAAUGAGUUAUUGUAUUAGGAGAAGUUAUAUAUAGAAAUCUAUAUAAUGCAUUUUAAUUAAUUUUACUUUUUCUUAAUGCUACUCGUGAUAAAAUGAUCAUAAGAGAUAAGAUAAAACGUGGAUUAUAUAACAAAUGAGAGUUUACACUCCAUUUUAUAAUGUGAUCUUUUGUUUAUAAUAUGUUAGUUUAAUUAUAUCAAUUUAGCAGGUUUCAGAAAAAGUUGUAUUAAGUACAAUAGAUAUUGAAGUAUGCUUAUACUAUAAAUUAGAUGAAUGAAUCUUCUAAAUAAUUUUUAAAUUUGGUACUUUCAACUCUUGAGUGGAAGAUGAAUCCACCAAAAUGCCUCUCUUUCAUUGAUUACAUCACAAGAAGACUUAAAAUGUUUUCAGUUCUUCAACACAUGUCAAUCUCUUCUUCUUUCUCUCUUAUUAGGUAAUAAUUAAUCUCUUUCUUUAACUUCUAUAUAUACAUUUCUUCAACUUCAGUUAUUUAUUUAUUUAUUUAUUUUUAAUGCAGAUUCCAGGUUUAUUGGUUAUUGUGAUUCUAGAUCAUUAUCUUCCUAAGAGUCUCUAGCAGGGAUCAAUUUACAUUUGACAGAGGCACAGAAUACUGGAGGAUUUUGUUUUUCUUUGGGAAAGGGCAUGUACCGUGUGCUUUAUAUUCCUGAAGAUGAAGCUGUUCUCUUGAAUUCUAGGGAGAAGGCGCCUUACAUGAUCUGUGUUGAAGUAUUGAGAUGUGACAUGAUAAGGUUAGGGACUUAAGCUCUCAUCUGAAUACUCUAGCAGAGUCAGAAACAGAGGGUGUCCAAGGAGCUGCUGCGGUUUUUAAUCAGGCCCCGCUUUAUAAACAUAAACACAAAUAUGAAGGCUAUGCUAUAGACUGGAGUCUUCUUGUUCUCGGAGCCAGAAGACUUGUAUCUGGAGUCUGAAAGGGCUGUGAGCAGAGAAGAGGGUUUAGCUCUCGCCAAAGAGUUGGGGUGUUUGCUUCUCAAAAGUAAUGCUAAAACUCGAGAAAAUGUGGAGCAGUGCUUUGAGGAACUUGCUCUAAAGGAAUUGAAUCAAGAGAGUGAGAUUUCAUCGCCAAAAUAGUUAGAAAGUAGGUCUUCUGGAGCAAGCAAUAGAGCAGCAUGAAAUAUGAUGGAGAUUUUAUGUAUUAAGUGUUACAUGUUAUGACAUUUAUAGUUGAAAAAUUAUGUUAUGUUUGAUACUUUGUAUAGGAGUUAUUAUUUUUUA
Long non-coding RNA from Arachis stenosperma, 3129 nucleotides. RefSeq lists it as uncharacterized. Lineage: Eukaryota; Viridiplantae; Streptophyta; Magnoliopsida; Fabales; Fabaceae. The transcript has 8 exons. The record is from RefSeq and is a predicted model, not a curated record.